GAUGAACGCUGGCGGCGUGCCUAAUACAUGCAAGUCGAGCGAACAGACGAGGAGCUUGCUCCUCUGACGUUAGCGGCGGACGGGUGAGUAACACGUGGAUAACCUACCUAUAAGACUGGGAUAACUUCGGGAAACCGGAGCUAAUACCGGAUAAUAUAUUGAACCGCAUGGUUCAAUAGUGAAAGACGGUUUUGCUGUCACUUAUAGAUGGAUCCGCGCCGCAUUAGCUAGUUGGUAAGGUAACGGCUUACCAAGGCAACGAUGCGUAGCCGACCUGAGAGGGUGAUCGGCCACACAGGAACUGAGACACGGUCCAGACUCCUACGGGAGGCAGCAGUAGGGAAUCUUCCGCAAAGGGCGAAAGCCUGACGGAGCAACGCCGCGUGAGUGAUGAAGGUCUUCGGAUCGUAAAACUCUGUUAUUAGGGAAGAACAAAUGUGUAAGUAACUAUGCACGUCUUGACGGUACCUAAUCAGAAAGCCACGGCUAACUACGUG
This 497-nucleotide ribosomal RNA is filed under the name uncultured bacterium. Its description in RNAcentral is "partial 16S ribosomal RNA". It matches the Rfam family "Bacterial small subunit ribosomal RNA", at positions 28 to 507 of the family's 1533-position model. The record is from RNAcentral.